GGAAAGGAACCGAUUGGCCCACAACGUUGAACAUCGGGGGAAUAAAGUGAGCAUUCCCCUCAACCUGUGCAGAUAAAGACUCUCCAGUAGUCUUUAGGGAUUCAAGAGCUACCAAGAUCUGACCGACCUGGUCUUUCAACUGGCUAACAUAAGCUUUGAAGGAUUCUUGCGACUCCUCCCAACUUUCCAUGACUCUUGAAUUAGCUUGAGUCCUGUAGGGAUGUCGUGGAAAAUUGGUCAUUGUUCUCCUCACUUGUACCC
This 261-nucleotide long non-coding RNA is filed under the name Vigna radiata. Its description in RNAcentral is "long non-coding RNA (VRAD_LNC015296)". Lineage: Eukaryota; Viridiplantae; Streptophyta; Magnoliopsida; Fabales; Fabaceae. The record is from RNAcentral.